CCCACACCCAUGUGUGUAGGACCUCAAAGGAUCACCAUUAAAUUUGGCACAGAUCUCUAGAAAAGUUAUCACAUGGGUGUGGGACUUGACUUUUCUAGAGAUCUGUGCCAAACUUAAUUCUGAUCCUUUGGGGUCCUACACACAUGGGUGUGGG
This 154-nucleotide microRNA precursor is filed under the name Amborella trichopoda. RNAcentral describes it as "MIR8565 microRNA precursor family". It matches the Rfam family "MIR8565 microRNA precursor family". Lineage: Eukaryota; Viridiplantae; Streptophyta; Magnoliopsida; Amborellales; Amborellaceae. The record is from Rfam by way of RNAcentral.